ACACUGCACGCACGUGCGAUAAGGGGACUCCGAGUGCGAGGGCAUAUCGUCCUCGCUUUCGUGUACCGUAGGGUGGUACACCAACAAGGGCUGGGCAAGACCGGUGCCAGCCGCCGCGGUAAUACCGGCAGCCCGAGUGAUGGCCGAUCUUAUUGGGCCUAAAGCGUCCGUAGCUGGCUGCGCAAGUCCGUCGGGAAAUCCACUCGCCCAACGAGUGGGCGUCCGACGGAAACUGCACAGCUUGGGACCGGAAGGCUCGAAGGGUACGUUCGGGGUAGGAGUGAAAUCCCAUAAUCCCGCACGGACCACCGAUGGCGAAAGCACUUCGAGAAAACGGAUCCGACAGUAAGGGACGAAAGCCAGGGUCUCCAACCGGAUUAGAUACCCGGGUAGUCCUGGCCGUAAACAAUGUUCGCUAGGUAUGACACAGACUAGGCGUCUCUGUUGUGCCGUAGGGAAGCCGAGAACGCGAACCGCCUGGGAAGUACGUCUGCAAGGAUGAAAUUCAAAGGAAUUGACGGG
RNAcentral lists this ribosomal RNA (522 nucleotides) under uncultured Haloquadratum sp. Its description in RNAcentral is "bacterial SSU rRNA". It matches the Rfam family "Archaeal small subunit ribosomal RNA", at positions 352 to 872 of the family's 1478-position model. The record is from RNAcentral. Lineage: Archaea; Methanobacteriati; Methanobacteriota; Halobacteria; Halobacteriales; Haloferacaceae.